This 68-nucleotide ribosomal RNA is filed under the name Staphylococcus aureus. RNAcentral's name for it is "partial 16S ribosomal RNA". It matches the Rfam family "Bacterial small subunit ribosomal RNA", at positions 1 to 64 of the family's 1533-position model. Lineage: Bacteria; Bacillati; Bacillota; Bacilli; Caryophanales; Staphylococcaceae. The record is from RNAcentral.
AAUUUUUAUGGAGAGUUUGAUCCUGGCUCAGGAUGAACGCUGGAGGCGUGCCUAAUACAUGCAAGUCG